RNAcentral lists this ribosomal RNA (256 nucleotides) under uncultured bacterium. RNAcentral's name for it is "partial 16S ribosomal RNA". It matches the Rfam family "Bacterial small subunit ribosomal RNA", at positions 521 to 776 of the family's 1533-position model. The record is from RNAcentral.
UAAGACAGAGGGUGCAAACGUUGUUCGGAAUUACUGGGCGUAAAGCGCGUGUAGGCGGCUUGGCAAGUCGGGUGUGAAAGCCCUGGGCUCAACCUAGGAAGUGCACUCGAAACUGCUUCGCUUGAGUGUCGGAGAGGAAAGCGGAAUUCUCGGUGUAGAGGUGAAAUUCGUAGAUAUCGAGAGGAACACCGGUGGCGAAGGCGGCUUUCUGGACGAUCACUGACGCUGAGACGCGAAAGCGUGGGGAGCAAACAGG